RNAcentral lists this long non-coding RNA (3757 nucleotides) under Equus asinus (donkey). Its description in RNAcentral is "lncRNA (ENSEASG00005028527.1)". Lineage: Eukaryota; Metazoa; Chordata; Mammalia; Perissodactyla; Equidae. The record is from RNAcentral.
CCGGUGUAUUCAUUCAGGUCCCAGCAGGAAACAGAUGGCAUACUCAAAUUAGGUAACUUGAAGAGAGCUUAAUCAAAGGACUAUUUACAAAGAUUUCAGCAGGAUGUUGGGAGGGAAACUAGGAGGGAACAAGGGGUAGCAUGGGACCCAGAGCUAAUCACAGCUCCAGAGACAUUACCACUCUGUGGAUGAAGGGACAGGAAAGGGAGCAGAUACUGUAAAAGGGGUACAUGGAGAGAGCAAGAGAGAGGGAAGGGAAGGAGGCAGAGAGAACAAACUAUGUGAAGACGGUCUCAUGACAAGGACUGUGACCUUCAGUUGAAAGACACAACAACAUAGCCAAGAAAUAUUGUACACUGAUGGUCAGAAUAAUGGUUACACUCUAUUUGGAAUAAAAUAGAAAAGGGAGGAAGAAAGAUUUAAUUCUUACAAAAAUAAAUUUAAGAAUCUCUUAUUUUAGCUGCCAGUAUUUCAGCAUGGAACUGACAGGUGAGGUAUAUUUUACAUCCAGGACUGACGCAAUGGAUUCCAACCCUUGUUGCUGUGUUCACUCCUGGCCCUCAGUCAGUUCUCCACUUAGUAGGCAGUGUCUUUGAAAACUACAAAUCUGGUCUGGGGGUUAAACUGCUUGAAACAUUUCAGUUGCCCUUCGAUAAAGAUUUUCAGCCUAAUUCAUAGGGCAUUCCAUGAUCUAGCAUUUUCUUGCCCCUCUAGUCCUCCUGCCCUUGAAUGGCUUUACCCCAGCCACACUGGCCACCCUCAGAAUGCCAUCAGCUUUCCUCCUAGCAGACAUUCAUGGAUGUGGUUCCUAUGGUCUGUGAGGUGUUUAGGGCUCAGCUGCAGGAAUCAGAAUUCGCUCCAGUUAGCUUAAGCAGAAGGGGACUUAUUAAGGAUAUUGCACAGCUCUGGAAGCAGUGUCAGGCCUGGAAAAGAAGACUAAAGAGAACCUCGAGAGCCGCGGCGGCUUGGCCACCGGAGGAAUUUUUGCCUCUUCUGCCAUCAGGGCGCUGGCAGCCAAACUGGGAAGCUGCCCCUGCAGCUGCUGUCUUCCAGGAUUCGGAAACCACUCAAAUUGGCAAACAGCCACAAUCUAGAAGCUAAAUGACCAGGAAGUCACCACGGUCAAGAGGUGCCUCAGGAAAGGCAGAUCUCCUGUUUAUUCACCAGUAAAAGUCACAGAAGGAGGGAGGCGAAGCCACUUGAUCACUUCCGUCUUCUGAAUCCUGAACGAGUGCCUCUGACUGAUGGAGCGAAUUCACGUCCAGAACCUGUCCUACAUGGAAACCUGGGAAUGUGUUUUUUAGCUUUCCAGUCUACACACGCUGGAAGGAGGUUGGAGGUGAUAUUGAGUGCCAAAAGACCACGUCUGCCGUAGCCGGGAACACUCUGUUCUUCCCCUGGCCGAGUAUUACUCAUCCUUCAGGUCUGGAGUCAGACUUCACCUGCUUAAGAAGGCAUGCCCUGACCCCCAGUCUAUUUAGAUGCCCCAUCUCAUCCCACUCCUUGCUGGAAAUAUCCAUACCACUCUGUGAUUCCCAUUACAAAUUACACAGUCACCAUCCUCCUACUCUGAGAACGUGUCCGUCUCCCUGCUAAGCUUCAUGACGGCAGAGAUUUUAUCUAUCCUGAUUACUCUUUGUAUCCUCAAUAGCUUGCCUAGCGCACGGCACAUUAUAGUCUCUUUAUAUAAAAUAAAUGAGUGUGCUGAAUGAAUAAAUAAAUAAAUGCAUGCAGGAAAGGAUGGGAGUAUUAUAGAACAGCUUGAAGUAAGACAAGUACAGACAUCAAUUGGAGAAAAGUUCCUCUGACAUGGGAGGGAGUGACAGUCUCUGAUUUGUUUUGCAGGAGUGGAUACAAUGUUAAGUUUGAAGUAUGGCAGGCCUGCAUACCUUCUGGAAAUGUCCAUCACAUUUUCUUCAGCAGCCUUUAAUGGAACCAAAUUCUCCUGAGAGAAUGACACUUCCCAUUCACUGACUCCAAUAAGGAGCAUCAUUCCCAGGUACUUGACUUUGAGGAGGCUGGAGAUGAAUGAGAUGCUCAGAAGCCUAAAAGAUGCAGGAAUGGUCUUUGUUCAGAGGUUGCCCACUGCCCAGUUCUCAGAACAGACUGAAUCUCAGAGAAGGAACAUUUCCCUUACAGCUCUUGGAUGGAUGUGUUUUGAAAACAGACUUACUUCUCCGAGGAUUUGACCUGACAACUUGUUCGCCUGUGAGGGUUGGAUCUGUGUGGAAGCCUAGCCCUAAUACUGAAAAGUUUUACUUUUCUGAAGAAAGGGACUGAAAGGCAGCUACAUGUUUGGCACAGUAAUGCUAAGGCUCUGGCACAAAAUCAGUCUGUCAGAAGCUCCUUUCCUCUGGAUAGAUGGACCAGUGACACUGGAUGGACUAAAGUCUUGUCUCAAAUGAAUGUAGAGCCCACUUCAGGAUUUCCAGCCCCUCUGCCUCUGGCUCCAAAGAACUGGCUUUACCAUUGAAGUUGUUAACAGUGAGGUCAGUGACGGGGGAUCAAAGCCCAGGGGAGAAACUGGGGCUGGUCAAGGGGGAGCCACCUGCCACAGAGCUUGGUUUUAACAUCUGUUGUCUAGGGUCACACUUCUCCAAAAGAUACACUACUGUGGUCAAGAUCAAGGUCACAUGGAAAAGAGGACUUUAAAGACAGCAAGUGAGCAUGGGUUGAUCUCAAGAUGAACUGGAACGGAAGAAAUCGAAAUUAGAAACCAAAUGUCCAUAUUUCAGAGAAAAGAACUUUACCAUUGAUCAGUUGCCCUGGGCAGUAAGAAACAGAUCGGGCACAAACUGGCUUAAGCUGGAAGCAAACGAAUUAGUUCACGUAGAAGGUGUCAACAGCAGGGUGGGCUUCAGGGUGGGUGGAUUCAGAGGCUUGAGGGCGUCAUUCUGUUCCUCGGUUCCAUUCUGUCUCUCCUCGCUGUCCUCCAUAGCACCGCCUCAUGCUAAGUCUGGUUCCCUUGUGUUCGAAUGGUGGCUGCCAAUGGCAGUCGGGACACGUGUUUUCUUUCCCACCCAGGGAGGGAGAAGAAGAGGCUAGAUACCCAUGACAGAUUCUUCCCUGGCGUCCCCAGGAGCCUCUCCUCAUGACUCAGGGGCCUCCCAGAGAGGAGAUGGUGGUCUCAGGCUUGCGAAGACCCAUCUGCUGGCGCGGAGUGGAUAUAGCCUCUAGGAUCACACGAAGAGGUUUCAGCUGUGCUGGGGCUUCCCCACUUUCAUGUUCUUUGAGUGUCAACUAAUGGGGCUGUUCUGUUUGUCUAUUGCUAUACAACAAAUGACCCCAAACUUAGUGGCUUGAAGAUACAGUCAUUUUAUUAUAUCUCCCAAUUUACGGGUCGUGAAUUCAGGCAGGACCCAGCUGAGAGAUGCUUCAGCAUCACAUGGCUUGGGCUGGGGUCACUCAGCGGUAUUUGGCUGGCAGCCAGGCUGGUCCGAGGGUCCUAGGAUGUCAUCACUCACAUGAUUGGCACCCUGGCGAUACUGGGGGCUGGGCUCAGGUGGGCGCCUCUCCCUCGUUGUGUGGGCCCUCUCCAUGUGGUCUCUCCAGCAGAGGAGCUGGACUUCUCACGUGGUGGCUCAGUUUGCUACACAGCUGCAAGUGACAGAGAAAUUGUGAAAUACAAGAUGAUUCCCAAUGAUUUGACAUGUCAUCUCCACUGUCCAUAAUAAACAAAAAGAAACGGGCAUUCAAUUUUAAUAAUAGAUGCUUUGUUUUUCUCCAUGCCCCCUAAAUAGAUGUGUCCAUUUUAAAA